RNAcentral lists this ribosomal RNA (506 nucleotides) under Salmonella enterica subsp. enterica serovar Heidelberg. RNAcentral describes it as "bacterial SSU rRNA". It matches the Rfam family "Bacterial small subunit ribosomal RNA", at positions 218 to 716 of the family's 1533-position model. RNAcentral also lists the same sequence under 1 other name. Lineage: Bacteria; Pseudomonadati; Pseudomonadota; Gammaproteobacteria; Enterobacterales; Enterobacteriaceae. The record is from RNAcentral.
CCAUCAGAUGUGCCCAGAUGGGAUUAGCUUGUUGGUGAGGUAACGGCUCACCAAGGCGACGAUCCCUAGCUGGUCUGAGAGGAUGACCAGCCACACUGGAACUGAGACACGGUCCAGACUCCUACGGGAGGCAGCAGUGGGGAAUAUUGCACAAUGGGCGCAAGCCUGAUGCAGCCAUGCCGCGUGUAUGAAGAAGGCCUUCGGGUUGUAAAGUACUUUCAGCGGGGAGGAAGGGAGUAAGGUUAAUAACCUUAUUCAUUGACGUUACCCGCAGAAGAAGCACCGGCUAACUCCGUGCCAGCAGCCGCGGUAAUACGGAGGGUGCAAGCGUUAAUCGGAAUUACUGGGCGUAAAGCGCACGCAGGCGGUCUGUCAAGUCGGAUGUGAAAUCCCCGGGCUCAACCUGGGAACUGCAUUCGAAACUGGCAGGCUUGAGUCUUGUAGAGGGGGGUAGAAUUCCAGGUGUAGCGGUGAAAUGCGUAGAGAUCUGGAGGAAUACCGGUGGC